Cordylochernes scorpioides is the source of this 71-nucleotide non-coding RNA. The record is from the annotation of a GenBank genome assembly. NCBI's taxonomy places the organism in Eukaryota, Metazoa, Arthropoda, Arachnida, Pseudoscorpiones, Chernetidae.
CGCCCAACGUGGGAUUCGAACCCACGAUUCUGAGAUUGAGUCUCAUACUCUACCGACUGAACUAACUGGGC